UGGGGCUGUAAAAGAAAAAGUCACAGGGGAUUGUAAACUUUGAUAAAUACUGUAGCAUAAAACCACAGCAGCAAAGACAAAACAGUGCCAUACAACAUAUGUUUCUUUUGCAAAACCUCCAAAAAGAAACUAUUGUGUAAAGAAUCUCUGUGAAAAAUUUGCAGCAAUGACUUUAUCAUUUUAUACCAAACAAAAUACAAAGCAUAUACUCUCUAAUUUCCUUUCAUAUAUACACAGUCUUCAAACUAUCAGGCAAAUAAUCAACUAAUUUUUUAUGGCUCAGAGUUCUUGUAAUCAAACAUAUAAUAUAAUCCAUUUCCAAAUGAUAAUGGUAUUGCUUGAAACAACACAUAUAAAUUGCCAACCUUCAUGUCUCUGUGAAUGAUAUUUCUUUCAUGAAUGUAUGCCAGUGCUUCAAAAACUUGUCUUACAUAAUGGCUUAAGUGAAAAGAAGGAUAUACUGUUAAAUCAUAGUUUAUGAUUGGCAGGAAAACUACUUAUUGAUUUAUAGGUUAUAAUAAAUUACAAAAUGAUAGAAUGAUAGCAUGAUUAUGAAUAAAUUUGCACAACAUUCAAGGAAUUGUAACCAAAUGCAACCCAGGCUUAUCUUUUUGCUGGACACCUGAAAAACAACUAGGAUACCUAAAUAACCAGAGAGGGAGUUGGGAAGUUUUAUUUAAGAAGAGAAAUUCUUUGUGUCAAAUUCCUUUACUGAGUUUGAUCACUAUUUUGCUCUGAAGAUUCCUUAUCUCCCCCUCCCCCUCCCCCCUCCAAAUGGCACAAGAACCCAAAUAUAUAGGCAAAAUGCUGACCACUUGGAGUGGGAGUCAUAAUAGUUUUCCGGCAUGUGAACAAAUGGGUUCCAAUUUAUAGCUGCAGAUGAAGGAUGAAAAUACAGACCACAGCACCAACCUACUACUUAAAAAUUAACAAGUGGUUACAAACUUGUAAAUCUUUGAAUUGGGAUUACCUAAAACUCUCAAACAGUUCAGUCUCCAUUAAGUUGCAGCAGGUGACAUUAAAAGGUUCAAUAGUUAAGACAUAUUUGUUUUAUUUAUAAUUUUUAAACAAACUGAAUUCAUGUUUUGUAUAUUCACCUUGCAACUGCUUCACUAUAUACAAAUCCAUUGUUAACCCUAUUUACUAUUUCUUCGCAGAGAUCAACACCAUCCAUCCUAUAUUGAAGAAACAAAUUUCAUAUCAGAUUACGCAAUCAUACUGUUUCCACUGACCAUCUUGAGAAAAUGACACUCUUUGCCAAAAAUAACUCCUUCUGCCAAAGAAACCCGUUUUGCUAAAACAUUUCCUUAUGGAAAAACAGCAAACUUCUUAACACAGCUUUUAAAUAAUACCGAGCUCUUGUGUUUCCAAUGACCAAUUGGAAUUUAUGACAUCAAGACAAUCUUUCAUAGCAAGUGAGCAUCCACAAAAAAUAAUUCAACACGAUAAGGUACAGACAUUUUCAUUUUCAUUUUGAGGUAAUGAAAAUAGCAGGUGAAAAAAUACUUACUGUUCAGUUACCAUGUAAACAGCAUCAUCAACUUUAUGUGCAGAUAAAAUCUGAACUGAUUAAAAAGAGACUUUGACAAUGAAAAUUGACAGGCUUUGACAUACUUGUACUAUAAAUACAAAAUGCAAAAUAAUGCAAAAUAUUGUAGGAAGACCAAUUUGCUAUACAAAUUUUUCUAAAAAGUCUUAGCUGCUUUUGCUUUUUUAUUUUCUUUUUUUCUGGGAGAUUAUAUUAAAAUUAUGCAAAAUAUGUUGCAUUAGGAAUGUUUAUAGAAAUCGUUUGCUCCUCACCUAUAUGUGGGUGCCUUAAUUUGCUGCAAAUCGAAACUUCCCUCUCAAUAUCUGAAAAGAAAGAGCCAGAAACAUUCAUUCACUUGAAAAAUUGUCUUAAAAUGCAUAAUAUAAGCCGAGAGGCCAAAGAGGGAGGGGUGGUGGGGAAAGUGCCCCUUUUGUCCUUUAAUAGGAGGGGCAAGGAGGGCAAAAGUCCCUGUGAAGUCAGCAUUUUUCAAUUAUCAAGGUGAGUAAUAUAAAAUAUUGACUGUAGUGCCUUAUUCACCAUGAAAUAUCACUUGUAAGAAAAUUGUGAGAAAAUUACUUAUAUGACAGCAGUUAGCCCAUUUUUAGAAGACUAAAGAAAAUUGAAAUAAAAGGACAGUUACAAAAGAAUACGCAGAUUUUGGUUUUCUAGUAUACAUUUUAGACAGAAAUCUGUAAGCAUUAUUCCAAUUUCAUUAAUAUCAGUGGUAAAAGGAGCUUAAGGGACAUCAAGAAGCAAAUACUUCCUAAGUUGGUGAAUCAUGUUUUGAAAUCUGACUGUGAAAUGCCAAAAAUUUACGCUGUUAUAAGGCAGUAGGAAUUUAAUUCAUAUUGGAGGAGGGUGCGGGUAGGGCAAAGCAUCUCUUUUUUCAUUUUCAAUAGAAGCAUUCUAACUGAAGAAGAAAGCCAGCUUAUAUAAAAAAGGAAGCAGGAAAGUGAAAAAUACUCAUUAUGCACCAAGUGAAGCAAAUUGUUGAAAAUUGAUGGAAUUAUGAACACAUGCUCAUAAAGAAACAGUAUCUUAUUAUGUUGUUGUUAGCUGACUUGGUGAUGGGCUUAAUCUGAUGAGUCAUUUUCAUUUUAGCUUUGAUUUUUUUCUAGUAAGCCGAUUUGAGUGGCCAAGCAACAAUUUGUAACUGAAUCCUAGAACCAUGCCAAAAAGAACUCUGCAUGCUGGCCAGGUUAAGUUUGUAAGCCAGUGUUUAAAAACCCCUCUAAUUUAUUACAGAAAUUAUUGCUGGAGCAUGGGUCAUUUAUUACAGAAGAGAGUAACAUCACCUAAAUGUGGAAACUAGAUGAUGUGUGACCCUCGUAGAGAAAAGUGCUUGACAGGAAAAUCCCUACAAAAUGACACAUGAUGGGAAGGAUGAUCAACAAGUAUCAUUUUGUUUCCAAGAAACAGGGAACCUAGGGCUUACGACUUUCCCUUGCUCUACUCCCAAACUUAGAUAGUCUGCCACAUCUGCAUAUAUUUAUGGAGAGAGUAAGCGCUGGCACAUCCGCGAUUUUUAUGAAAAGAAAUAAAAGCACACUUGAGGAAAAUGUAGAGCCUCUCUGAUCGCCCUGGGUCUCGUGGACACUUCAAGUAUGGUUUCUGGGUUAAAGAAAUGCAGGAUAUUGAACUCAUUAAUGACAAAAAAUUUUACGAAGAGAAGUCUGUGCUGUCAGAUUAGCCAAUUUGGAAGCAAUUGCAAUUAAAGUCACCCCAUCCAGCAGUCUAUCAUUUACUCUACUACAGCCUGAUGAUAUGACAAGGUCAAUGGAGGCGCAAGGCGAGGCUCCAUAAUCAGAGCAAACAGAAUGCUGUGGUGGGGGCUGGAAAAGGUGGU
Rhopilema esculentum is the source of this 3374-nucleotide non-coding RNA. Lineage: Eukaryota; Metazoa; Cnidaria; Scyphozoa; Rhizostomeae; Rhizostomatidae. The record is from RefSeq and is a predicted model, not a curated record.